UCGAGUCUUUGAACGCAAGUUGCGCCCGAGGCCAAUCGGCCAAGGGCACGUCUGCCUGGGCGUCAAGCGUCGCGUCGCUCCGUGCUUGCUCAAACACAUCAACGUGGGCGUGUCGGGCGAAGGCUCGGAUGCGGAGAGUGGCUCGUCGUGCCCCAUCGGUGCG
Molecule: ribosomal RNA, 163 nt
Filed under: Ancistrochilus rothschildianus
Lineage: Eukaryota; Viridiplantae; Streptophyta; Magnoliopsida; Asparagales; Orchidaceae
Description: 5.8S ribosomal RNA
Source: RNAcentral